UACGUAGGCAGCAAGCGUUGUUCGGAGUUACUGGGCGUAAAGGGUGCGUAGGCGGUUGUUUUAAGUUUGUGUGAAAUCUCCCGGCUCAACCGGGAGGGUGCGCCGAAUACUGAACGGCUAGAGUGCGGGAGAGGAGAGUGGAAUUCCUGGUGUAGCGGUGAAAUGCGUAGAUAUCAGGAGGAACACCGGUGGUGUAGACGGCUCUCUGGACCGUAACUGACGCUGAGGCACGAAAGCGUGGGUAGCAAACAGG
RNAcentral lists this ribosomal RNA (253 nucleotides) under uncultured bacterium. RNAcentral's name for it is "partial 16S ribosomal RNA". It matches the Rfam family "Bacterial small subunit ribosomal RNA", at positions 524 to 776 of the family's 1533-position model. The record is from RNAcentral.